RNAcentral lists this long non-coding RNA (1058 nucleotides) under Oreochromis niloticus (Nile tilapia). RNAcentral's name for it is "lncRNA (ENSONIG00000038768.1)". The record is from RNAcentral. Lineage: Eukaryota; Metazoa; Chordata; Actinopteri; Cichliformes; Cichlidae.
ACAAAAUCAGUUUGAAUAAGAGUAAACAUUUACUCACCAAAUCGGUGUAUCGGGUAAAGAUCCACAGCAAUGACAACAAUAAUCUCUUGAGCUGAAGCUUCUCCAGGUUUGCUCAACAUAUUCCAGAAAAAAAUGCGGCACCACGAACAUGCGGACUGAUCCAUGCGAGGGAGGAGGAAGGUGUGACACUUUUCUUUGAUUGGAGGGACCACACUGGAGGUGCGAGGCCGUCUAUGCCAAUACAAAUGAGCUGGACUUGGGAGGAAAAAUAAGGACCAUACCAAGCAAAAGAGGGCAUUUAAAAAGACAGUGCUCUGCAGAUGGAUUUUUGGUAAGUAUUAUUGUUUAUUGUGGUUUUAUGAGGCUUCAGUGAACAAUUGAGGGAUCAAUUAAAGUGCUAGAUGAGUUUGUCAUUUCCUGUGUCAGGUGUUUGGUAGCCAACCAGACUGUGGAAUAUAGCACACAGCUGAACAAAGUGAGGCAGCAGUUUGCUGAUUUCUGCCCUGUGACUUACAUGUAAUCAGCCUAGUAGUUUAUAGGCUUUCUCCAUGCUAAAGACUUUUGACAAGAGGUUAUUUAUAUAUAAGCUCUAAUUGAGCCUCUUUUUUUCUGUUAAACUUUUUUUGUUUGUUUUUGUCCUAGAUGGCCUGACUCAACAGGUGGGGGUAAACACAAUUUCUGCAGAAAUUGCUCCGCUAUGCUCCCGAUCGGAUCGGUGGGCAGGUUGCCCGAUAUUCAGCCCGAUCCUGGAGUAAACUAAAGACAAUGACUUGUAAAUAAAACAUUUAACAAAAAAUGUCUUUAUAGAAUAAUUUUUUUUCUUGAUGCAAAGAUGUCUAUUAUCAUUUUGUUAAUUACAUAAUGCCUGAUGCUUAAUGUUAUAGGGAUAUUAUAAUGGACAUUGUAAAUUGAAAGAUAAUGUCUAACAUAUAAUGGUAUUCCUGUUUUAAGAUAAUACACAAUUGUCUUUUUUGCAGGUUGAAGUAUUGAUUGGUUAAUUUCCACUGGUUUAGUAUUGAUUGAAAUUCCAACCAUGCAAACGUUGUGGAAAAUAAACA